Non-coding RNA from Ameiurus melas (black bullhead), 75 nucleotides. The record is from the annotation of a GenBank genome assembly. Lineage: Eukaryota; Metazoa; Chordata; Actinopteri; Siluriformes; Ictaluridae.
GACCUCGCUGGCGCAACGGUAGCGCGCGUCUGACUCCAGAUAAGAAGGUUGCGUGUUCAAAUCACGUCGUGGUCA